RNAcentral lists this signal recognition particle RNA (99 nucleotides) under Actinomycetota bacterium. RNAcentral's name for it is "signal recognition particle sRNA small type". It matches the Rfam family "Bacterial small signal recognition particle RNA". From Rfam's summary of the family: The signal recognition particle (SRP) is a universally conserved ribonucleoprotein involved in the co-translational targeting of proteins to membranes. Lineage: Bacteria; Bacillati; Actinomycetota. The record is from RNAcentral.
GGUCGGGUCCUGCGCAAGGAUGCACCGUGAACCGGGUCAGGGCCUGACGGCAGCAGCUCUCAGCGGAUCGCUUCCUGUGCCGCAGAUCACCUGACCGCU